AUUGAACGCUGGCGGCAUGCUUUACACAUGCAAGUCGAACGGCAGCGGGGAGGAGCUUGCUUCUCUGCCGGCGAGUGGCGAACGGGUGAGUAAUACAUCGAAACCUGUUGAGAAGAGGGGGACAACCACCCGAAAGGGCGGCUAAUACCGCAUAAAUCCUGAGGAAGAAAGCUGGUGACCUAGGAAUCGGCCUAGCGCUUUUAGAGCGGCCGAUGUCGGAUUAGCUAGUUGGUGAGGUAAAGGCUCACCAAGGCGAAGAUCUGUAGCGGGUCUGAGAGGAUGAUCCGCCACACUGGGAGUGAGACGCGGCCCAGACUCCUAAGGGAGGCAGCAGUGGGGAAUUUGGGACAAUAGGGGCAACCCUGAGCCAGCCAUGCGGCGUGUAUGAAGAAGGCCUUACGGUUGUAAAGUACUUUUGUUAGGGAAGAAAAGUCAGCUGUGAAUAAUGGCUGAUACUGACGGUACCUAAAGAAUAAGCACCGGCUAACUACGUG
RNAcentral lists this ribosomal RNA (494 nucleotides) under uncultured bacterium. RNAcentral's name for it is "partial 16S ribosomal RNA". It matches the Rfam family "Bacterial small subunit ribosomal RNA", at positions 30 to 507 of the family's 1533-position model. The record is from RNAcentral.